GAGAAACAGAGAAGUUUCUCCAUUAAACCUACAAGGCUAUGGCUUUUCUCUUUCACCAUUUCAUUUUCUCUAAUCUUUUUCAUCUUUUUCUCUAUAUGGGUUCUCAACCUUCCAUUAUAUAGCCGUCAAGAAACUCAUAUUCAGUUCAACAGUAGUACUGCUACUGCUGCUUCUGCUUCUGCUUCAGUCUCUUUGAGACCCAGAUCUCCUUUCAAGAUUCAAUCUUUAACUGGUUUUCACAAAAAUUACUCAGCAACCCAAAUCAAGAACUCAAUUUUGGUGAGUACCCAUUUCAAUAGAGUUGAA
Molecule: unclassified non-coding RNA, 306 nt
Filed under: Hevea brasiliensis (rubber tree)
Lineage: Eukaryota; Viridiplantae; Streptophyta; Magnoliopsida; Malpighiales; Euphorbiaceae
Source: RNAcentral